UGGGGAAUUUUGGACAAUUGGGCGAAAGCCUGAUCCAGCAAUGCCGCGUGUGUGAAGAAGGCCUUCGGGUUGUAAAGCACUUUUGUCCGGAAAGAAAUCCUUGGCUCUAAUACAGUCGGGGGAUGACGGUACCGGAAGAAUAAGCACCGGCUAACUACGUGCCAGCAGCCGCGGUAAUACGUAGGGUGCAAGCGUUAAUCGGAAUUACUGGGCGUAAAGCGUGCGCAGGCGGUUUGCUAAGACCGAUGUGAAAUCCCCGGGCUCAACCUGGGAACUGCAUUGGUGACUGGCAGGCUAGAGUAUGGCAGAGGGGGGUUAGAAUUCCACGUGUAGCAGUGAAAUGCGUAGAGAUGUGGAGGAAUACCGAUGGCGAAGGCAGCCCCCUGGGCCGAUACUGACGCUCAUGCACGAAAGCGUGGGGAGCAAACAGGAUUAGAUNCCCUGGUAGUCCACGCCCCUAAAACGAUGUCAACUAGUUGUUGGGGGAUUCAUUUUCCUUAGUAACGUAGCUAACGCGUGAAGUUGACCGCCU
This 532-nucleotide ribosomal RNA is filed under the name uncultured bacterium. RNAcentral's name for it is "partial 16S ribosomal RNA". It matches the Rfam family "Bacterial small subunit ribosomal RNA", at positions 355 to 874 of the family's 1533-position model. The record is from RNAcentral.